AGACUAACGGGCUUCGAUCCCGUAAAAAAUUAAUUAACAACCAACCGCCCCAGCCAGCGGGCCUUAGCCUAGCUUCU
Molecule: transfer RNA, 77 nt
Filed under: Cyrtodactylus cf. ingeri
Lineage: Eukaryota; Metazoa; Chordata; Lepidosauria; Squamata; Gekkonidae
Description: tRNA-Trp
Source: RNAcentral